CCUACGGGUGGCAGCAGUGAGGAAUAUUGGUCAAUGGGAGAGAUCCUGAACCAGCCAAGCCGCGUGAGGGAAGACGGCCCUAUGGGUUGUAAACCUCUUUUGUCGGAGAACAAAACCCGGGACGUGUCCCGGACUGCGUGUAUCCGAAGAAAAAGCAUCGGCUAACUCCGUGCCAGCAGCCGCGGUAAUACGGAGGAUGCGAGCGUUAUCCGGAUUUAUUGGGUUUAAGGGGUACGUAGGCGGUCCGUUAAGUCAGCGGGAAAAUUGCGGGGCUCAACCCCGUCGAGCCGUUGAAACUGGGAGACUUGAGUUGGCGAGAAGUACGCGGAAUGCGCGGGGUAGCGGUGAAAUGCAUAGAUAUCGCGCAGAACUCCGAUUGCGAAGGCAGCGUACCGGCGCCAGACUGACGCUGAGGCACGAAGGCGUGGGGAUCGAACAGGAUUAGAUACCCCAGUAGUC
RNAcentral lists this ribosomal RNA (459 nucleotides) under uncultured bacterium. RNAcentral's name for it is "partial 16S ribosomal RNA". It matches the Rfam family "Bacterial small subunit ribosomal RNA", at positions 338 to 795 of the family's 1533-position model. The record is from RNAcentral.